CCUACUGGGGCAGCAGUGGGGAAUAUUGCACAAUGGGCGCAAGCCUGAUGCAGCCAUGCCGCGUGUGUGAAGCAGGCCUUCGGGUUGUAAAGCACUUUCAGCGGGGAGGAAGGCGUUAAGGUUAAUAACCUUGGCGAUUGACGUUACCCGCAGAAGAAGCACCGGCUAACUCCGUGCCAGCAGCCGCGGUAAUACGGAGGGUGCAAGCGUUAAUCGGAAUUACUGGGCGUAAAGCGCACGCAGGCGGUCUGUCAAGUCGGAUGUGAAAUCCCCGGGCUCAACCUGGGAACUGCAUUCGAAACUGGCAGGCUAGAGUCUUGUAGAGGGGGGUAGAAUUCCAGGUGUAGCGGUGAAAUGCGUAGAGAUCUGGAGGAAUACCGGUGGCGAAGGCGGCCCCCUGGACAAAGACUGACGCUCAGGUGCGAAAGCGUGGGGAGCAAACAGGAUUAGAUACCCGGGUAGUC
RNAcentral lists this ribosomal RNA (464 nucleotides) under uncultured Klebsiella sp. RNAcentral's name for it is "bacterial SSU rRNA". It matches the Rfam family "Bacterial small subunit ribosomal RNA", at positions 338 to 795 of the family's 1533-position model. Lineage: Bacteria; Pseudomonadati; Pseudomonadota; Gammaproteobacteria; Enterobacterales; Enterobacteriaceae. The record is from RNAcentral.